GUGGAGCUUGCUCCAUGAUUCAGCGGCGGACGGGGUGAGUAAUGCCUAGGAAUCUGCCUGGUAGUGGGGGACAACGUUUCGAAAGGAACGCUAAUACCGCAUACGUCCUACGGGAGAAAGUGGGGGAUCUUCGGACCUCACGCUAUCAGAUGAGCCUAGGUCGGAUUAGCUAGUUGGUGAGGUAAAGGCUCACCAAGGCGACGAUCCGUAACUUGGUCUGAGAGGAUGAUCAGUCACACUGGAACUGAGACACGGUCCAGACUCCUACGGGAGGCAGCAGUGGGGAAUAUUGGACAAUGGGCGAAAGCCUGAUCCAGCCAUGCCGCGUGUGUGAAGAAGGUCUUCGGAUUGUAAAGCACUUUAAGUUGGGAGGAAGGGCAGUAAGUUAAUACCUUGCUGUUUUGACGUUACCAACAGAAUAAGCACCGGCUAACUUCGUGCCAGCAGCCGCGGUAAUACGAAGGGUGCAAGCGUUAAUCGGAAUUACUGGGCGUAAAGCGCGCGUAGGUGGUUCGUUAAGUUGGAUGUGAAAGCCCCGGGCUCAACCUGGGAACUGCAU
This 559-nucleotide ribosomal RNA is filed under the name Stutzerimonas stutzeri. RNAcentral describes it as "bacterial SSU rRNA". It matches the Rfam family "Bacterial small subunit ribosomal RNA", at positions 73 to 626 of the family's 1533-position model. Lineage: Bacteria; Pseudomonadati; Pseudomonadota; Gammaproteobacteria; Pseudomonadales; Pseudomonadaceae. The record is from RNAcentral.